Molecule: ribosomal RNA, 443 nt
Filed under: uncultured bacterium
Lineage: Bacteria
Description: partial 16S ribosomal RNA
Rfam family: Bacterial small subunit ribosomal RNA
Source: RNAcentral
CCUACGGGAGGCAGCAGUGGGGAAUAUUGGGCAAUGGGCGCAAGCCUGACCCAGCAACGCCGCGUGAAGGAAGAAGGCUUUCGGGUUGUAAACUUCUUUUGUCAGGGACGAAGCAAGUGACGGUACCUGACGAAUAAGCCACGGCUAACUACGUGCCAGCAGCCGCGGUAAUACGUAGGUGGCAAGCGUUAUCCGGAUUUAUUGGGUGUAAAGGGCGUGUAGGCGGGAAUGCAAGUCAGAUGUGAAAACUAUGGGCUCAACCCAUAGCCUGCAUUUGAAACUGUAUUUCUAGAGUGCUGGAGAGGUAAGCGGAAUUCCUAGUGUAGCGGUGAAAUGCGUAGAUAUUAGGAGGAACACCAGUGGCGAAGGCGGCUUACUGGACAGUAACUGACGUUGAGGCUCGAAAGCGUGGGGAGCAAACAGGAUUAGAUACCCGGGUAGUC